Molecule: small nuclear RNA, 283 nt
Filed under: Meriones unguiculatus (Mongolian gerbil)
Lineage: Eukaryota; Metazoa; Chordata; Mammalia; Rodentia; Muridae
Description: 7SK RNA (ENSMUGG00000015317.1)
Rfam family: 7SK RNA
About the family: 7SK was discovered as an abundant small nuclear RNA in the mid-70s but a possible function has only recently been suggested.
Source: RNAcentral
GGAUGUGGGGGCCAUCUGGCUGUGACGUCUGUCACCCCAUUGAUCGCCAUGCUGGAUUCGGCUGAUCUGCCAGGCUAGGUGGGUGCCCUCUUCCUCCCUCACUCGGUCAAAGAGGACGACCUUCCCCAAAUACAGGAAGGCCGGUCUCCGGUCAAGGGUAUUCGAGUAGCUGCACCCCUCUCCAAACAAGCUCAAAGAACCUCGGCUAAGACAUUCACGGCUGCACCCUGGAAGCAAGAACACUGCCUGAUGUAAGCCUGUGUGCAGGACACAGCUGUUGGAU